RNAcentral lists this ribosomal RNA (253 nucleotides) under uncultured bacterium. Its description in RNAcentral is "partial 16S ribosomal RNA". It matches the Rfam family "Bacterial small subunit ribosomal RNA", at positions 524 to 776 of the family's 1533-position model. The record is from RNAcentral.
UACGGAGGGUGCGAGCGUUAAUCGGAAUUACUGGGCGUAAAGCGCGCGUAGGCGGUUUGUUAAGUCAGCUGUGAAAGCCCUGGGCUCAACCUGGGAACUGCAGUUGAUACUGGCCGACUAGAGUACGAGAGAGGGAGGUAGAAUUCCAUGUGUAGCGGUGAAAUGCGUAGAUAUAUGGAGGAAUACCGGUGGCGAAGGCGGCCUCCUGGCUCGAUACUGACGCUGAGGUGCGAAAGCGUGGGGAUCAAACAGG